GAUGAACGCUGGCGGCGUGCUUAACACAUGCCAGUCGAACGAGAAAUGGAGACGGAAACCUUCGGGCGGAAGGCUUCAUUUCGAGUGGCGGACGGGUGAGUAACGCGUGGGUAACCUGCCUCAUACAGGGGGAUAACAGUUGGAAACGACUGUUAAUACCGCAUAAGACCACAGCACCGCAUGGUGCGGGGGUAAAAACUCCGGUGGUAUGAGAUGGACCCGCGUUCGAUUAGCCAGUUGGCGGGGUAACGGCCCACCAAAGCGACGAUCGAUAGCCGAUCUGAGAGGAUGACCGGCCACAUUGGGACUGAGACACGGCCCAAACUCCUACGGGAGGCAGCAGUGGGGAAUAUUGCACAAUGGGGGAAACCCUGAUGCAGCGACGCCGCGUGAGUGAAGAAGUACUUCGGGAUGUAAAGCUCUAUCAGCAGGGAAGAAAAUGACGGUACCUGAGGAAGAAGCCCCGGCUAACUACGUG
This 478-nucleotide ribosomal RNA is filed under the name uncultured bacterium. Its description in RNAcentral is "partial 16S ribosomal RNA". It matches the Rfam family "Bacterial small subunit ribosomal RNA", at positions 28 to 507 of the family's 1533-position model. The record is from RNAcentral.